RNAcentral lists this ribosomal RNA (372 nucleotides) under uncultured organism. RNAcentral's name for it is "partial 16S ribosomal RNA". It matches the Rfam family "Bacterial small subunit ribosomal RNA", at positions 527 to 896 of the family's 1533-position model. The record is from RNAcentral.
GUAGGUGGCAAGCGUUGUCCGGAAUUAUUGGGCGUAAAGCGCGCGCAGGCGGGUCUUUAAGUCUGAUGUGAAAGCCCACGGGCUCAACCGUGGAGGGUCAUUGGAAACUGGAGAACUUGAGUACAGAAGAGGAAAGCGGAAUUCCACGUGUAGCGGUGAAAUGCGUAGAGAUGUGGAGGAACACCAGUGGCGAAGGCGGCUUUCUGGUCUGUAACUGACGCUGAGGCGCGAAAGCGUGGGGAGCAAACAGGAUUAGAUACCCUGGUAGUCCACGCCGUAAACGAUGAGUGCUAAGUGUUAGGGGGUUUCCGCCCCUUAGUGCUGCAGCUAACGCAUUAGGCACUCCGCCUGGGGAGUACGGCCGCAAGGCUG